Molecule: transfer RNA, 72 nt
Filed under: Camelus bactrianus (Bactrian camel)
Lineage: Eukaryota; Metazoa; Chordata; Mammalia; Artiodactyla; Camelidae
Also listed under: 1 other name
Rfam family: tRNA
About the family: Transfer RNA (tRNA) molecules are approximately 80 nucleotides in length. Their secondary structure includes four short double-helical elements and three loops (D, anti-codon, and T loops).
Source: Rfam by way of RNAcentral
GGAGGUAUAGUUCAGUGGGAGAGCAUGUGCUUGACAUGCAUGAAGUCCUGGGUUCAAUCUCCAGUGCCUCGG